Molecule: long non-coding RNA, 1053 nt
Organism: Micropterus salmoides (largemouth bass)
Lineage: Eukaryota; Metazoa; Chordata; Actinopteri; Centrarchiformes; Centrarchidae
Exons: 3
Source: RefSeq, a predicted model, not a curated record
UUUGGAUAGACUGCGAAGAUCACAAAUGCCUUCAAUGAUGCACCUCUGGGAAAUAGUCACAGAUGGGGCUAGCAGUUAUUCAGAUGAAUCAGCAGCACUGCAAACAAGCUAAGCAGCUAGUGAAAGGUUGGAGGUACAAUAUUUGGCCGGGGAGGGGCAGAGAGCUCUUGCUGCCCAGGCAGGCCUGACGCCUCAACCAGGCUUUUACAGUAGGAAGGAGUGAAGCACACAGAGGUUUACCGCCAUGCUGGGAUCACCAGUUUAAUGGAGGCUCGCCCUAUCCCACAUUCAAACCCUGCAUCUCUUGGCUCCCUUCCGGCAGCUGGAGUAUACUGGGGAGCGUUCCCAUGGAAAAGCUGUUAAACUGGCCACGGUAGUGAGGAUGAGGAACAAGUUUCCAUCAUGUUCUAACUAGCUACAAAGAGAUUCACAUAUUGCACUGCCAUAUAGACUUCUCUACUGUAAGAUAGUUCUAGUAGGCUAAUUGUGAUGUAGUAAGUUUUAGUUGGCAGUUGGAGAUUUUGUCUGCUUUUUUCUGUCGUUUUCCAGUCUAGUGGCUACAGGUGUGUACAUGACCAGGUCUAUUUCCUCCUGAACUGACCUAUGAGGGGUCUGAGUGAGCUUGUUUUUGCAUCGUCUCCAUGUUGCUAUGCAGACUGACUUUUCCAUUGGCUGGGUUUUACCAGUCAUCCUUAAAGACAAGCCUGGUCCUGAUUGUUCCGGAUCGUACGGCGGAAUCAAAUUAGGGACUGGUAAUGGCCAUAAAGUCCAUGUCUGAGGCAUUAUACUCAAGGGCGUGGGCCCACCUCACAUUUCCCAUCCGCAUUUCCUUUCGUCCUCGUUUCUGAGUGGGACUGUCAGCUUUUUUCAUUACCAGCUAAUCUGGAGGAUUUGUAACUAAAACAACAAACAGAUAAAAACGCACAAAUCAAUGGGAGAGAGUGAUGUUCCACCAAUCAACUGUAUGUUCAUAAUUGGCCAACUCAUACAUCAUGCUUGUUCUUCUAUGAAUGGGCCCCAUGCUUUGCAGUUGUUUAUAAAAUUCGAGGUGGA